RNAcentral lists this ribosomal RNA (443 nucleotides) under uncultured bacterium. Its description in RNAcentral is "partial 16S ribosomal RNA". It matches the Rfam family "Bacterial small subunit ribosomal RNA", at positions 335 to 795 of the family's 1533-position model. The record is from RNAcentral.
ACUACGUGAGGCAGCAGUGGGGAAUAUUGGGCAAUGGGCGCAAGCCUGACCCAGCAACGCCGCGUGAAGGAAGAAGGCUUUCGGGUUGUAAACUUCUAUUAUUGAGGAUGAAACAAAUGACGGUACUCAAUGAAUAAGCCACGGCUAACCACGUGCCAGCCGCCGGGGUAAUACGUAGGUGGCAAGCGUUAUCCGGAUUUACUGGGUGUAAAGGGCGUGUAGGCGGAACUGCAAGUCAGAUGUGAAACCGAAGGGCUCAACCCAGGGCCUGCAUUUGGAACUGUUGUUCUUGAGUGAUGGAGAGGCAAGCGGAAUUCCGAGUGUAGCGGUGAAAUGCGUAGAUAUACGGAGGAACACCAGUGGCGAAGGCGGCCUGCUGGACAUUAACUGACGCUGAGGCGCGAAAGCGUGGGGAGCAAACAGGAUUAGAUACCCGAGUAGUC